CUUAAAGGUUUGGUCCCAGCCUUCCUAUUAGUUGUUAGCAAAAUUACACAUGCAAGUAUCCGCAUUCCUGUGAGAAUACCCUCGUAAAUCAUAUAUGAUUAAAAGGAGUAGGUAUCAAGCACACUCUUAUUGAGUAGCUUAUGACACCUUGCUUAGCCACACCCCCACGGGUAACAGCAGUGAUAAAAAUUAAGCAAUAAACGAAAGUUUGACUAAGUUAUGCUAACACAGGGUUGGUAAAUUUCGUGCCAGCCACCGCGGUCAUACGAUUAACCCAAAUUAAUAGGCAACGGCGUAAAGCGUGUUAAAGAAUUCUACACACAAAUAAAGAUAAAACUUAACUAGGCUGUAGAAAGCAACAGUUAAAACUAAAAUAAACUACGAAAGUGACUUUAUCAUAACUGAUCACACGAUAGCUAAGACCCAAACUGGGAUUAGAUACCCCACUAUGCUUAGCCCUAAACUUAGGUAUUUAGUCUAACAAAAAUACCCGCCAGAGAACUACUAGCAAUAGCUUAAAACUCAAAGGACUUGGCGGUGCUUUAUAUCCCUCUAGAGGAGCCUGUUCUGUAAUCGAUAAACCCCGAUAAACCUCACCACCCCUUGCUAAUUCAGCUUAUAUACCGCCAUCUUCAGCAAACCCUAAAAAGGUAUAAUAGUAAGCACAAGUAUAGGACAUAAAAACGUUAGGUCAAGGUGUAGCUUAUGGGGUGGGAAGAAAUGGGCUACAUUUUCUAUUAAUUAGAACAUUCACGAAAGUUAUUAUGAAACUAAUAACUAAAGGAGGAUUUAGUAGUAAGUUAAGAAUAGAGUGCUUAACUGAAUUAGGCCAUGAAGCACGCACACACCGCCCGUCACCCUCUUCAAGUACUUAGACUGUAAACAAUCUAUAAAAUUUCAAGUCACCCAGUAUUAGAAGAGAUAAGUCGUAACAAGGUAAGCAUACUGGAAAGUGUGCUUGGACGAAU
This 968-nucleotide non-coding RNA is filed under the name Sorex roboratus (flat-skulled shrew). RNAcentral's name for it is "12S ribosomal RNA". It matches the Rfam family "Bacterial small subunit ribosomal RNA". Lineage: Eukaryota; Metazoa; Chordata; Mammalia; Eulipotyphla; Soricidae. The record is from RNAcentral.